This 1323-nucleotide ribosomal RNA is filed under the name metagenome. Its description in RNAcentral is "bacterial LSU rRNA". It matches the Rfam family "Bacterial large subunit ribosomal RNA", at positions 1561 to 2925 of the family's 2925-position model. The record is from RNAcentral.
AGUGGAUGGGGAGCAACCUAGUUGUGCGUGUGUAAAGGUAGUGCCAAGAAAAGCGAUGAUCAUGUUGAAAAUCAAUUCCCGGUACCCGAAACCGACACAGGUGGGCAAGUAGAGAAUACUAAGGGGCGCGAGGUAACUCUCUCCAAGGAACUCGGCAAAAUGACCCCGUAACUUAGGGAGAAGGGGUGCCACCGAGAGGUGGUCGCAGUGAAGAGGCCCAGGCGACUGUUUAGCAAAAACAUAGGUCUCUGCAAACUCGAAAGAGGAGGUAUAGGGGCUGACGCCUGCCCAGUGCCGGAAGGUUAAAGAAGUUGGUCAGUUUUAGGAUGAAGCUAGCGACUGAAGCCCCGGUGAACGGCGGCCGUAACUAUAACGGUCCUAAGGUAGCGAAAUUCCUUGUCGGGUAAGUUCCGACCCGCACGAAAGGCGUAACGAUCUGGGCGCUGUCUCGGAGAGAGGCUCGGCGAAAUAGGAUUGUCUGUGAAGAUACGGACUACCUGCAUUUGGACAGAAAGACCCUAUGAAGCUUUACUAUAGCUUGGAAUUGUGUUCGGGCUUCCUGUGCGCAGGAUAGGUGGGAGGCGUAGAAGGUAUUCUUGUGGGGAUACUGGAGCCAACGGUGAGAUACCACUCUCAGGAGGCUAGAAUUCUAACUUAAUUAAGGACAGUUUCAGGUGGGUAGUUUGACUGGGGCGGUCGCCUCCAAAAAGGUGACGGAGGCGUACAAAGGUUCCCUCAGACUGGUUGGAAAUCAGUCGAAGAGUGCAAAGGCAGAAGGGAGCUUGACUGCGAGAAGUACAGUUCGAGCAGGGUGGAAACACGGUCUUAGUGAUCCGACGGUGCUGUGUGGAAGGGCCGUCGCUCAACGGAUAAAAGUUACUCUAGGAUAACAGGCUGAUCUCCCCCAAGAGUUCACAUCGACGGGGAGGUUUGGCACCUCGAUGUCGGCUCAUCGCAACCUGGGGCGGAAGUACGUCCCAAGGGUUGGGCUGUUCGCCCAUUAAAGCGGUACGUGAGCUGGGUUCAGAACGUCGUGAGACAGUUCGGUCCAUAUCCGAUGUAGGCGUGAGAAUAUUGAGAGGAGCCUUCCUUAGUACGAGAGGACCGGGAAGGACGCACCGCUGGUGUACCUGUUAUGAUGCCAAUUGUAAACGCAGGGUAGCCAAGUGCGGAGAGGAUAACCGCUGAAAGCAUCUAAGUGGGAAGCCCACCUCAAGAUGAGUAUUCUGGUGUAAGGUCACGGGAAGACGACCCGUAAAUAGGCACGAGGUGGAAGUGCAGAGAUGUAUGAAGCCGAAGUGUACUAAUAGACCGUCGGCUUGA